CAUUGAGAAGCUAAGAAGAACAGCAUUAGCCUUUUAAGCUAAAGAACGGAGGCUCGAAACCACCCUCAGUGA
Molecule: transfer RNA, 72 nt
Filed under: Harpadon microchir
Lineage: Eukaryota; Metazoa; Chordata; Actinopteri; Aulopiformes; Synodontidae
Description: tRNA-Lys
Rfam family: tRNA
About the family: Transfer RNA (tRNA) molecules are approximately 80 nucleotides in length.
Source: RNAcentral